This 207-nucleotide ribosomal RNA is filed under the name uncultured bacterium. RNAcentral's name for it is "partial 16S ribosomal RNA". It matches the Rfam family "Bacterial small subunit ribosomal RNA", at positions 568 to 774 of the family's 1533-position model. The record is from RNAcentral.
CGUGUAGGCGGUACAGCAAGUUGGAUGUGAAAGCUCCUGGCUUAACUGGGAGAGGUCGUUCAAAACUGCUGAACUAGAGUACGGUAGAGGAAAAUGGAAUUCCGGGUGUAGUGGUGAAAUGCGUAGAUAUCCGGAGGAACACCAGAGGCGAAAGCGAUUUUCUGGACCGAAACUGACGCUCAGACGCGAAAGCUAGGGUAGCAAACG